CCUACUGGAGGCAUCAUUAGGGCAUCUUGCACAAUGGGGGAAACCCUGAUGCCUCACCGCCGCUUUCCCUCUUCCUUUUUUCUUUUUUUCCCCCCCUUUUCUCCGCUCCUCCUCUGACGGUAUCUGACUAAGAAGCACCGGCUAACUACGUGCCAGCAGCCGCGGUAAUACGGAGGGGGCAAGCGUUACCCGGAAUCACUGGGCGUAAAGGGGGCGCAGGCGGGAGAGCAAGUCAGGUGUGAAAUCCUAGGGCUUAACCCUCGAACUGCAUUUGAAACUGCUUCUCUAGAGUAUGGGAGAGGUAUGUGGAAUGCUUGGUGUAGGGGUAAAAUGCAUAGAGAUCACGAAGAAUUCUCAUUGCGAAGGCAGCAUGCCGGAACGUAACUGACGCUGAUGCACGAAAGCGUGGGUAGCGAACAGGAUUAGAUACCCGUGUAGUC
Molecule: ribosomal RNA, 440 nt
Filed under: uncultured bacterium
Lineage: Bacteria
Description: partial 16S ribosomal RNA
Rfam family: Bacterial small subunit ribosomal RNA
Source: RNAcentral